Molecule: ribosomal RNA, 835 nt
Filed under: uncultured bacterium
Lineage: Bacteria
Description: bacterial SSU rRNA
Rfam family: Bacterial small subunit ribosomal RNA
Source: RNAcentral
UCGAGCGAGAAGCAUCUUCGGGUGUUAGUAAAGCGGCGAACGGGUGAGUAACACGUGGGUAACCUGCCCUGGAGACCGGGACAACCAUUCGAAAGGAUGGCUAAUACCGGAUAUCCUGCGGAAUCGUAUGGUUCCGUAGAAAAUGGUAGCUUAGGCUUCUGCUUCAGGAUGGACCCGCGGCCCAUUAGCUUGUUGGUAGGGUAAUGGCCUACCAAGGCAACGAUGGGUAGCCGGCCUGAGAGGGCGAUCGGCCACACUGGAACUGAGACACGGUCCAGACUCCUACGGGAGGCAGCAGUGGGGAAUCUUGCGCAAUGGGCGAAAGCCUGACGCAGCAACGCCGCGUGGGGGAAGAAGGCCUUCGGGUUGUAAACCUCUGUCGGGAGGGACGAAGCCACCUGCGUUAAUAGCGUAAGGGGUGACGGUACCUUCAAAGGAAGCCCCGGCUAACUACGUGCCAGCAGCCGCGGUAAUACGUAGGGGGCAAGCGUUGUCCGGAUUUAUUGGGCGUAAAGAGCGUGUAGGCGGCCUGUCAAGUCCGAUGUGAAAUCUUGCGGCUUAACCGCAAACCUGCAUUGGAAACUGUCAGGCUAGAGUCUGGAUGAGGAAGGUGGAAUUCCUGGUGUAGCGGUGAAAUGCGCAGAUAUCAGGAGGAACACCGGUGGCGAAGGCGGCCUUCUAGGACAGUACUGACGCUGAGACGCGAAAGCGUGGGGAGCAAACAGGAUUAGAUACCCUGGUAGUCCACGCUGUAAACGAUGGACACUAGGUGUUGGGGGUGUUGACUCCCUCAGUGCCGUAGCUAACGCAUUAAGUGUCCCGCCUGGGGAGUACG